Molecule: long non-coding RNA, 1704 nt
Filed under: Homo sapiens (human)
Lineage: Eukaryota; Metazoa; Chordata; Mammalia; Primates; Hominidae
Description: non-protein coding SMC5-AS1:3
Source: RNAcentral
UCGGGGACGUGGCAACUGGAGUUUCUUCUCCGUAUAUUUCGGCAUUCAGUUCCUUUUUUUUUUUGUUUUAACUCAGGAAAAAAUCUCAAUUGCGUUUAGUAUUUUGAAAGCCACUUUAUUGCUUCCCGAGCCUCAGUCAUGUGUGGUGGGAGGCUGCUGUGGGUGGCACCUGGGGCGUCCACGGCCGCCAAGGCGGGAGGACGUCAGGCCCUGCUUGCUCCCACCCCUUCCAGGUGAGAGCUCCCGGGCACGCCCGUCGUUGGCUCUUCGUCCUCUUGGUGUUCUUCCCUGUUGCUUCAAAUCAGGUUCCUGUCUCAAAAAUCCGAAAAAGAAAUCCUCCCAAAUGACUCUGUGCCCGACGCUCCGUUAAGGCAUCGUGCUAGGCGUUCUCAAACUCGUGAAAUGACUACACUGCACAGGUUAACCUCAUUGCUACUCUUCCCCUUGCCUCCUAAUUCUCUGGUUAAACUUCCGCCCCCGAGGUUUCUAGAAAUCCCUGAGCUGGAAUGCGCUGCCUUCAUUAAGAGGGUGUUCUGCUUCCGUCUGCUCACAUUCAUCUAGUAAGCCCUCUCGUUAAAGAGGAGGCAGCACACCGAGGCCUGUCUAGAACUUCUUUCAUUUAACCAACAGUGAAUAUCUAAUCUACAAGAAACUGGAGCCGUGGCAGUUUAGGAGCCUGCCAAGGUUGCAUCCCUGGGAGCUUAUUUUCUAUUGUGGGAGACAGGAAAAGAACAAGUGAAUCAACUGUGAAAUUAAAUAAUUCAAACUUAAAGCUGUUGGAACUUUAAAUUAUUCUGAGCCUUGCGAAGAAUGUGGCGAUGGGGCCUGAGUCCCAUGGCAUACAGCUGCAAUGUCUGCCUUGUUUUUUCCUAUAAUCAGGAAGACCAAACAGAGACAGAGGUAAGACCCCCUCAGAUCACUACCCCCUUCAUAAAUUAAUAUAGUUAUCUUCCUUGGAAUGUAGCUAUCUAUAACUAAUCUAAUCGCUGUAAUUUAUGCACUGCUCUUGUAUUGAAAAUGUACUCCUGCUGAACCUUCUCUGUUUCUGCCUGUGUAAAUGAAACCUUAACUUCACUUUGGAACAUUGACCCUAUUUGUUUGGAGUUGGUGUUUCCAGGUGGCUGUCCUCAAGCUUUGCGUUAGAAUAAACUCUAUACUUAAUGAUAUUUUCUGAAUUUCACUACUUAAGGCUGACACAACAAAUGAUUAGCAUAAUGUCAGACUGUGACAGGUGUUAGGAAGAAAACAAAAUGAACCUGAUGGGUGGGAGGUACGGAAGGCCUCUUAGAGAGGUGGUGGUGUUUAAGAUAAACUCUGAAGGACGAGAAGAAACUGUGACGAUCUGAGAAAAGAGCACCCCAGGCAAAAGAAUUUUGCUGGAACAUACCAGUAAGGACAAAAGCUCUGAGGUGGGAAGGCCAGUGUUGCUGCAGAGCAGUGAACAAGGUUGCAGAGCAGAACCUUGUCCAUCGUGGAAAAGCCUGAAUUUUAUUUUUAAAGCAAUGGGAAGCCAUUGCAAAGUUUUAAGCAGGAGAGGGCCAUGUUCUGACUAAAGCUUUUAAUUUUUUUAUUUGAUUUUUUUUAUUUGAUUUUUUUGAGACAGAGUCUCACCCAGUCGCCCAGGCUGGAGUGCAGUAGUGCCACCUCAGUUCACUGCAAACUCUGCCUCCCUCGUUCAAGCGGUUCUUCUGCCUCAGCCUCCCG